This 557-nucleotide ribosomal RNA is filed under the name uncultured bacterium. RNAcentral describes it as "bacterial SSU rRNA". It matches the Rfam family "Bacterial small subunit ribosomal RNA", at positions 102 to 694 of the family's 1533-position model. The record is from RNAcentral.
ACGGGUGAGUAACGCGUGGGAAUCUACCGUACCCUACGGAAUAGCUCUGGGAAACUGGAAGUAAUACCGUAUACGCCCUAACGGGGAAAGACUUAUCGGGGUAUGAUGAGCCCGCGUUGGAUUAGCUAGUUGGUGGGGUAAAGGCCUACCAAGGCGACGAUCCAUAGCUGGUCUGAGAGGAUGAUCAGCCACAUUGGGACUGAGACACGGCCCAAACUCCUACGGGAGGCAGCAGUGGGGAAUAUUGGACAAUGGGGGCAACCCUGAUCCAGCCAUGCCGCGUGAGUGAUGAAGGUCUUAGGAUUGUAAAGCUCUUUCAACGGUGAAGAUAAUGACGGUAACCGUAGAAGAAGCCCCGGCUAACUUCGUGCCAGCAGCCGCGGUAAUACGAAGGGGGCUAGCGUUGUUCGGAAUUACUGGGCGUAAAGCGCACGUAGGCGGGUAUUUAAGUCAGGGGUGAAAUCCCGCAGCUCAACUGCGGAACUGCCUUUGAUACUGGGUAUCUUGAGUAUGGAAGAGGUAAGUGGAAUUGCGAGUGUAGAGGUGAAAUUCGUAGA